GACGAACCGUGCGAACGUUGUUCGGAUUCACUGGGCUUAAAGGGCGCGUAGGCGGGUGAGCAAGUCCGGGGUGAAAUCUUUCGGCUUAACCGGAAAACUGCCUUGGAUACUGCUUGUCUAGAGGGAGGUAGGGGUCUGCGGAACUUCCGGUGGAGCGGUGAAAUGCGUUGAUAUCGGAAGGAACGCCGGUGGCGAAAGCGGCGGACUGGACCUCUUCUGACGCUGAGGCGCGAAAGCCAGGGGAGCAAACGG
Molecule: ribosomal RNA, 252 nt
Filed under: uncultured prokaryote
Description: partial 16S ribosomal RNA
Rfam family: Bacterial small subunit ribosomal RNA
Source: RNAcentral